RNAcentral lists this long non-coding RNA (1549 nucleotides) under Mytilus galloprovincialis (Mediterranean mussel). Lineage: Eukaryota; Metazoa; Mollusca; Bivalvia; Mytilida; Mytilidae. The record is from RNAcentral.
AGGCCACAAUUAAAAAUAUUUCAGUUUGCCCAAACCCGACCCAUGAUGACUGGGUGUGGGUAGGUAGGUAGGCAAAUUCUUUUUUUUUUUUUUUUUAUCGAAUUUGCAUGAAAAUAUUAAAAGAUCUUAAAACAGUAUAUCUUUUUUUUUCUCUGUCAAACCUUUGUAGAGACAACCAAAAGCCAUGAAUUUAAAACCUCUAUAAAUAAAUUAGUUUACUAUAUGAUUUGUAUCCUGAGAUGUUUAUAACCCUGACAAUUGCUAACUGUGUGAAAGGGCUGUUGGAUUUGUGAAGUGAUUUUCAACAGUUCCAUCAACACGAUGUUUGUGUAAAAAAAAUAUCAGCUGAUUAUGUAAUGAUUAAAUUUGUUUGCAGUUUUUAAAUCCUAUUUCUAUUAAAAUAGAUUAAAUGUCCUAAAAUAUUUAUAUGAAUUAUUAUCUACCAUCCUUAGUUUGUGUCUUUUUUAUGUUUUGAAAAAAAAAAUUAUAUUUUACAUUAUCACACAGGUAAACUAAUUUGGCUAUAAAUAGAUCAAAGCAUGUUCUGUAGAAUCUCCAAACUAAAAACGUAUUUGUUAUAAUUUUAUUUCUUUAAAUAAUCAAGUUUAAAUUUUUGAAAAUAAUCAUUAUUGAUAAAAUAUAAUUGCAUAAAGUUAACGUUUUCUGAAGACUUUAUUUUUAGGUCAUGGUUCUAGAGGCUUCCUCACAAAUUGUAUAAAAAUCCAAUAUGGCGUCCAUAACAUGUUUUUACUUUUGCACAUGUGAAAAAAUAUUUCUGACAAAAGUCAGAUUUUUCUUGUCAAAAGGGAUUUAUAUUUAUAUUGCAAUAAAUUAUUCAGAAGGAGUUACAUUCAGUUAAGAUUAUAUUUCUGAUUCUGUGAGCAAUUAUAGUUUUAUCAAAUUCUCCCAAACAGCAACGUACUGAUCUUGUCUAAUGAGACUUGUAAAUUUGAACUAUUUGAAUAAAAGGGCAUCUAAUUUACAUGAUAAAGGAAGAUUAUAAUUAAAGACAACAAUUUAUCAAGAAAUAAUUCCUUUUUUAUUCAGUAAAAACAAAAUCUUCUUGCAAGAUUGUAAAUUCGCAACUUCCGGAUCCAUUUCCUGUCAGAAUAACAUUGAAAAUAUUCGAUUGCACAUGGUUUUGAACAAAUCUACCUGAAUAUUCUUAUCAGAUAUUCGAUAACACGAUGAAAUUAACAUUGAGCAUAUAGGUAAGGGUUUGGUAGUACAAACAACUACAGCGUAAAAAAACUGUGCCACUUCACAUGUUUUACUUCUUUACGUUCGUUAAAUCAGAAGAUAAAACAGAGAACAUCGAAUAUCGAUUAACUGCGUCUCUUAUACGCUUUCUUUUAAUCUUAUUCACAGUUACUUUCAAACGCAAAGACGACAAACAUUAAGUUUUGUACGAUGACGGAGCGGACCCAAAAUAAAUCCGAAAAAAAAAAAAUUCUUCCAAAAAACGUCAAAAAAAAGAAUUUGAGUCGGCGGGUUUAUUUUGGGUCGGUCGCGUUUGGGCAAACAUACAAUCUUUUUAUUUUGGCCUUAA